UACGUAGGGUCCGAGCGUUGUCCGGAGUGACUGGGCGUAAAGCGCGCGCAGGCGGCCUGCGAGGUGUCACGUGAAAGCCCCGUGCUCAACGCGGGAGGGUCGUGGCAAACCGGUAGGCUUGAGGCCGGUAGAGGUGGGUGGAACUCCUGGUGGAGUGGUGAAAUGCGUAGAGAUCAGGAAGAACACCCGUGGCGAAGGCGGCCCACUGGGCCGGACCUGACGCUGAGGCGCGAAGGCGUGGGGAGCGAACGGG
This 253-nucleotide ribosomal RNA is filed under the name uncultured bacterium. RNAcentral describes it as "partial 16S ribosomal RNA". It matches the Rfam family "Bacterial small subunit ribosomal RNA", at positions 524 to 776 of the family's 1533-position model. The record is from RNAcentral.